GCGGACGUGGUGGAAUUGGUAGACACACUGGAUUUAGGUUCCAGCGCCGCAAGGUGUGAGAGUUCGAGUCUCUCCGUCCGCACCA
RNAcentral lists this transfer RNA (85 nucleotides) under Pseudomonas aeruginosa. RNAcentral describes it as "tRNA-Leu". It matches the Rfam family "tRNA". From Rfam's summary of the family: Transfer RNA (tRNA) molecules are approximately 80 nucleotides in length. Their secondary structure includes four short double-helical elements and three loops (D, anti-codon, and T loops). Lineage: Bacteria; Pseudomonadati; Pseudomonadota; Gammaproteobacteria; Pseudomonadales; Pseudomonadaceae. The record is from RNAcentral. RNAcentral also lists the same sequence under 20 other names.